RNAcentral lists this ribosomal RNA (467 nucleotides) under uncultured bacterium. RNAcentral's name for it is "partial 16S ribosomal RNA". It matches the Rfam family "Bacterial small subunit ribosomal RNA", at positions 28 to 507 of the family's 1533-position model. The record is from RNAcentral.
GACGAACGCUGGCGGCGUGCUUAACACAUGCAAGUCGAACGGAAAGGCCUCUUUCGGGGGGUACUCGAGUGGCGAACGGGUGAGUAACACGUGAGUAACCUGCCCUUGACUUUGGGAUAACUUCAGGAAACUGGGGCUAAUACCGGAUAGGAGCUCCUGCUGCAUGGUGGGGGUUGGAAAGUUUCGGCGGUUGGGGGUGGACUCGCGGCUUAUCAGCUUGUUGGUGGGGUAGUGGCUUACCAAGGCUUUGACGGGUAGCCGGCCUGAGAGGGUGACCGGCCACCUUGGGACUGAGGUACGGCCCCGACUCCUACGGGAGGCAGCUGUGGGGAAUAUUGCACAAUGGGUGGAAGCCUGAUGCAGCAACGCCGUGUGCGGGAUGACGGCCUUCGGGUUGUAGACCGCUUUCGCUCAUGACGAAGCUUUGUGUGACGGUAGUGGGUAAAGAAGCACCGGCUAACUACGUG